Molecule: long non-coding RNA, 1947 nt
Organism: Gallus gallus (chicken)
Lineage: Eukaryota; Metazoa; Chordata; Aves; Galliformes; Phasianidae
Source: Ensembl
UUUCAAUACUCUCCCUGAGUAUUGAAAUGCGCCCAUGUGAGGUUGGAAAUAAUGAAUAAAAAUAAUUCUUCAAAUUAUCAAUCAAUCAAAAUAGCUGAAGUUCAUAGAGAAUUAAACAGGCUAGCACAAAAGCUGAUGAUGCAUCAUGCUGCUUGCUUCCUUCUCCCCUGGGAGCCUUUGUGACCCACAGCCCUCACCUCGGAUAGGAUCUGUUCCUGCCCUCUGCAGCUCAGCAUGGAGCACAGCUUUCCCACUUGGUUUCUGGUUUUUGGGACAGGAACAAGGAAGCCACCUCUGCCAGCCCAAACCUAGCCCUAUCAGAUCCCAUCUGUUCUAGGGAAAUAGGGCAAGCACUGCCUGUGCUGAGUGAUGCUCAUACAGCUCUGGUCCCAUGAAGCCUGUCCAUCCCCUUUUGUCAUCCUCCUGUCCCCUCUGCUGGGCUUCCACAGAGCUGGGACCUUUCCUUUCUUGUUUAUUUGUGGCUUGUUUCCUGUGCUCUGUUUAAAAAGCUCAUGUAGCUCUUCAGGUUCUCAUUUUACAGACCAAGGCAAAGGAAGCUGCAAGGAUUUCUGCCUGGGAGUUGGAUGUCUGUGUACCCUGCUGUCAGCCUCCAGCCAAUGUGAUGGCACAGUGAACCUGUAAUGCAUCCAGAGAGGAAGCAGAGAGCUGCAGUUCAGCAGGGACAGAACGCUGACCGGGAGGGGAUGGGGUCCUGCCCACGUCGGUGAUGGGAGCAGUCCUGACCCUCUGCUCCAGGCACCAGGAGGAGCCCACGACCAGCCUGCCUGCUCAGCCACCAUUUCAAGAGCUUCUCAAGUCAAAGCAGGCCUGGAACACAAAACCUUUGGGUGCCAUGCAGAGAAGCAGCAACACUGAGAGACCCAGAGCUUCUGUGGAAGCCAGCUGUCCCCAAGGCCUGACCCACAGCAGUGCUCAGCACGUGGGGAUGGAAGCUCCCACUGCAGCCGGAGGGACUCCAACAGCCACGGAGCGCCUGUUCUUAUCAGAGCCCGUGCACUCGACUGGGGCUCUGGGAAUGGUGCUGCUGGGGAAUGCUGUGUUCUCAGAGGAAGCAGAACCUGCCUGGAGCCUUUCUUCCUGCACCGUCCGUGCACAAAGAGGCUUCUCAGGAAGAUGAUAAACAUCCUAAGAACUGCUGUGGCUUCUGGAGACGCUCACAUCAGUGUCUUUUCCUUUAAACAUCCUGAGCUGAAGGGCCCUUUGCCUCUGAUGUCAUUCGUGCCCACACAGCCGAAAAUAGGUGCUGAGUUCUGGCAUGUAAAGCCAGCAGUGCGUGAAGUGGAGUUGCUAACAGCUCAGGAGCUGCCUGAGCUGCUGAGAGCCCCUUGGGAAGAGGUAUGUGCCAGUGUAUAUGAGGUCUGUGCGUGGAAGAGACAAAGGCUGGUCACAAAGCAGGGGGCUUCUGCUCAGCCUGGAACAGCAGAGGGGCGGGAUGGGGCUGAGCAGAGGGUGCUGGUAGUGUUGCGCUCAGGGCUGGGUGCUCCAGGGGUCUGCCAGGAGCAAUGCUUGGCCCUGCCCCUACUCCUGCAGGGGAAUAAGGGGUUAAAAAGGGUGGUGGCACAAUUCAAGCAUCCAUUCAUCUCUCUGUUUUCUUGGUGCUUGUGGGGCUGGGGGCCAUAGCACUGCCACACCAGGGUGGCAAGAGUCCCACCAGGCUGGUGGCAGGGAUGGGUCACCAUUGAACAGCCAAAUGUGGGUGGCUGCAUUCCACAGCUCCAGAAAGCUGCAGAAUGAGGGAGAGAUCAGGAUAUGUGAGCUGGAGCCUUGCCCAAGGGCUUUUGUUUUCUUGUCAUCGUUCCCUUUAAUAUAAAGCUGUUUCUUGUGGCUCUGCAGCUGUGGAGUAAUGGUGCUUUGGUAGCACUGUGAUAUCAGACAGUCUGUAUGGACAAAAGACGGAAAAAUAAACAUUAUAUUUGGUACUAAAAA